This 676-nucleotide long non-coding RNA is filed under the name Gallus gallus (chicken). Its description in RNAcentral is "long non-coding RNA NONGGAT002276". The record is from RNAcentral. Lineage: Eukaryota; Metazoa; Chordata; Aves; Galliformes; Phasianidae.
CGGCUCGAAAAAAUGCUCCGGGCUGAAAUUAUCUUUCAUUGUUACUAGUGGUACAGGAGAUCGCGUCAGCUUCGGGACUCGGGGUAAAAAUGGAAGCGGCUUGUUUACCUUUUCACUUGUGUCAAAACAUUCUGACAGGACUUUGCGUGCAGCCAGCUUCUCCGUUCUGCCACCCAAAAUUCUGAUCCUUCCACCUAUGUUUGCACGUCAGGGAACAAAACCGAGAGAGCAAAACCUUCGGUGAGAGAAGUGCAUGUGCAAGAAGUGCAAAGCCUGGCGCAGGGCUCCCUGGACGGGAGACAAACGGCAGCAGAGCUGUGGCCCUCAGCUACGCGUCAGUGGUGACAGCAGCAGGGAAACAGCAGAGGAGGAUCGGAAGAAAAGAAGAGGAAAGUUUGGCUCACCUAAGAGAAACGGAGGCUGUUUUCGGCACGUCAGAAUAGCAAAGCCAGGUUUGCUGGUUCUGGUGGCACUUCGAAUUUCCCACAAGUGUUCCCCGCAAAGUAAACCCAUUUUAGCAUUCUUGUACGUUCACGUCAGGAUUUCCACAGACCGAGGCCUCCACCGAGGCCACCCGACUCUGUCUGCGUCCUUCAGAGCAACGGGAGGUUAGGAUUUUAAGCAAAGAAAGAAACAAACUGCGUCCGUACUCUGCAAGGUGCGGGAUCCAAAUGCA